UUUUUUUCAAAGAACUAAGCAAAAGGCACUCAUAAAGCACUUCGAUCACAUAAACUCCAACUCCAUCUAAGGAAUCCAAUAUAUUCAUGGUGAUAGCCGACCUCUUAAUCUCAAGUUCACGCGCCCCACGCACAGUAAGCCAAAGCCUGAGACAUCAGGGCUUGAAGGCGGAGAAAGAUUUGUUCCCAUUGGCCCAAACGGGUAGUUGGGAGCCUGGGUUCCCUCAAAGCCGCCUCCGGGAGACCAGAAGGCAGCGGGGUUUUAUGGAGCUAGGGGCUUGGCGGGAGGAGCUUCCGGCAAACACAGGGGUCACUUCCCAUAAGCCCCUGGGAAAGCUGACUCCCGGGGCAAGGCUGCUGAGGGCCGGCCAGCGGGAUGAACCUCCCUGAGGGCGUUCUCUUUCUUCCGCAAAAGGAGCUCACAAAUCCUCAAGACACCGAGUCACCCCUCAAGUUAACAGGAAAAAACAGCAAAUUGCUUUACUAUCUGCAGUACCCCUCAGGCACCCGGCUUCAAUGGCACAACCUGAAGAUUCCGAGCUAAACUGAUUUUCCUCAAGUUAAGAAUGCAUCAGGGGCCGCCCGGGCCGAGUGGUUGAGUUCCAGCGCUCCAAUGCAGUGGCCAAGGGCGUCACGGGUUCGGAUCCUGGGCGCCGACAUGACGCUGAUCGUCAGGCCACGGUGAGGCGGCGUCCCACAUGCCUCAACUAGAAGGACCUGCAACUAAGAUAGACAACUAUGUACUGGGGGGAUUUGGGGAGAAAAAGGAAAAGAAAAAAAAGAAUGCAUCAAACCAAGUUUGAAUUUUUACCCCCCAGUUAUUUGCAACAUGACCAAUUCUCAUGGAUGAGGGAGGCAAAGGCCCUUCAGGGCAAGACGUGGUGAGAACUUAUCAAACCUACUGUCCUCAGAGAGCACAGUACAGGGAUUUUCCUCGUGAGGGCCCCCGGGUCCCUCACCGCGAAAGCAGCGAGGAAGGAGCGAGAGGUGGCUACACGGCGACGACGCAGAAAGACGCGGCGGGAAGGAAGAAAAAACAGAAAACCAAAGGGGGAAAAAAUGGAGCCUACUGAGGAGACGCAGGGGCGGCUUCAGCUCCAGCGGCGGCGACGGCGACAGCACUGGCGGGGGGCUGCGCAGCACCAUGGGGCCUAGAAGGGCCUAGAAGAGGCGCGGGGCGGCGCUCCCCGGGUCGGGAGAAGCGCAGGGCGCGGAGGAGCCGCGGCGUGUUGGCGUGCUCCUGCCCGGCGCGGGGACGGGAGAGUGGGCCUGGAUCCCCUCGAUAGGGGCCCGCAGGACGCGCGACAGGCCCUCGGCGGAGCGGGCCUCCCCACGACGCGCUCGCACGAUGUCGCAGGAACCCAGGAAGUCGACGCGACUGUCGGCAUCGCUGGUUUCGGAGUCGCUGAAGAAGUGCCGGAAGUCGCCGCCGCCGUGCUUCCUCAGGCCGUCGGCGGGCGGCCCCGCGGGCUCCCUGUUCCCGAGGACACCAGCUGGUCUUGGACGGCGCGGCACGUGCAGUGGCCGCCAGCUGGAUCUCCUCCAUCUCUCGAGUCGUGGCCUCCAGGAUGGCGGCAAGCUUCUUUCCCUGGUCACGGCGAAGCUGGGCCCGGAUCCUCUCACGCCGCCCCUUCUUUCGCGCCUUCUUUGUGCCCUUGAGAGGCGGGGCGGCUGGGCCUCGAGAUCCAUCUUGGCAAGAUCUUCAGUGACAGAAUCGAGGUUGCUGUCAUCAGGAAAAUUCUUUUGGAGCUUCUCUAGUUCCUGCUGGUGCCUGGGCUCCGUUGUGGCCUCAAGACUGGCCACGUCGAGGAGCAGCUGCUUCCUUCCUUUCCGGUUGCUCCUGGGUCGGGCCUACAGCUCUUUCUUCUUGAGGUGGUGGCGUCGUACCAUCCGCUGGUGCUCCUUCUGCCGAUCUUUCCUGAUAUUUAACGGCAGGCCAGAAUGGAAGUUUGGCGGCAGCUAAAGUACCGGCUGCUGUUCAGACUAACGGCGCAAACCGCGAUCAGGCCACGGGUCCUCAGCCUCCCCUGGCCGCUGCAGUCUGUAAAGCGUGACUUUUGCAAUGGGACAGGAUCCUUCAGGAGGUCCUGAGCCACUGGAAUACUCAGAGCCUGGGGACCUGUGUGACAGGAUGGAGGAGGGAUUUCUACGUUGAGCCGGAGGGUGGACGGUUUCUUUCUAGGGCCCUUAUGUCUCUGAGGGCGUGUGGCUACUGGGACCACCUUAGACUCUGCCCCAGGGGGGCUGUUAUUGGCCAUCUAGGGCUCCUCGGGUGUCACCUUUGGGGCUGAUGUCUGCUUCAUGUCAGGUCUACCCCCAGCACUUUGCCACAGACCUGAUCCGCGUUACUCCCAGAAAGGGCCCAACUUCAGCUCAGAGAAUUCCUACAGUCUGGCCCCUUCAGAUCACCCCCUUUCUCUUUGCCCCACUUGCUUGGCUCCCAGUCUUGGUUCCCCCUUCCCAUUUUGCCCCUUUUGGAUUUGCUGACCCUAGCAUGGGCCCACACAUCCACAGGACCCUGCUUCUGCUACAGGACUCUCAGCCGCCGGCCCUGCAGCCCUGGGCACAAGACACUGCGCUUCCUCUCCUAGUCAGAUGUCUAAGACUUCACUGCCCAUCCCUGUCCUGGAGGACUCAGACUCUCUUGGACAGAAAUCUACGUCCCCGUGAAAUGCUGCCGUGUCUUUCUGAAAGACAAGUUGUGGCAUGCAGGAUGCUGCCUCAGCAUGGCUUGACGAGUGGUGCCAUGUCUACACCCAGGAUCCGAACUGGUGAAACCUUGGGCUGCCAAAGUGGAGUGCACGAACUUAACCACUCGGCCACGGGGCCGGCCCCAAAGAAAUGAAAAUAAACCUUUGCUCAUGGGAGAGGGAGUGAAUGCCAGUCGAGACUCCACUACAUAAAGACAUUGCUGCUCACAGAUGCUCUGCUGAUCCCUCAAGAAUCUUGAAAUUGGUGAUAGGGUCUCCAUUUUACAGAUCUUAUGAAGCAAGGACUACUAUUCACCCCAAAAUGAUGAAGGCAGGCUGACUGGAAUGGAGAAGUACAUGUUCUGGAGGGCCUGACGUGGCCUGUUGAGCAUGCACUGUACACCUGCUUUAAACAUUUAUGAUGUCCCAAACACAAGAAUGAUGCCCUUAAAGGUAAGGAUGUCUGUUUCCCCAUAUCAACAUUCCGUUAAGGAUAAGCAGCUCCUCCUAAAAACUAAGGAUUAAUUACUGACUUGCUGUGCUCACCUUGUGACCACUUACCUGCUGUGCCAGCAAAGCAAUCUCAUGACUAUUGUAAAAGGGACAUUCCUGUCAUGUGAUAUAUGCUGUUUGUUCCAAGAUGGUCUAUAACCACUCUGUAUACCCCACUUCUUUGGAGUGCUUCCUUCUUUUGUGAAGGUGCCCUCCCAGGCUAUAAGGUCCUUAUAAGGUUGGCUCAUAAUAAAUUCAACCCAGAUUUGAUUUAUAGAUCGGAUUAUGGAUUAUUUGCAUCGGCAAA
Equus asinus (donkey) is the source of this 3488-nucleotide long non-coding RNA. The record is from Ensembl. NCBI's taxonomy places the organism in Eukaryota, Metazoa, Chordata, Mammalia, Perissodactyla, Equidae.